CCCAUCUCCCAGGCCACAGCAUAGCAACCGAACAUGGCGGCUGCGCAGACGCCGCCAGUCAGCCGCUCGGAACGGCGGCCGCGGCCACGGGAGGCGAUCUCGCGAGAGGUGAGGCCGAGCCCCGCUCCCCGCCGGCGCGGGCUGGAAGCGGCCCCACCAGCCGGAGCGCGGGGGACGCGCAGGUCCCAGACACUGCGCAACGUGGGUUAACUCAUCAUCCUUAAGGUCUUCUAGGAGGUUGCUUCCAUGGAAGACAGUGUUCUCAAUGGCUAGGAGUUAUUUCAUCAUUUGGUAGACUCAGCAUCCUGGCUUCCACCCACGGGUUUCCUCCCUGGGCCUCCCGGGCCCCAGGCUAUGGCAAGCUUGCGCCCCCUGCCGGUCAGUGAAGCAUCUGCAAGAAACAGUGUCCUGCAGUCCUCAACAUCAGCCAUCCUGAGCACAGUCCCUAGCUCUGGAACUAGCCCCCUGAAGAGUUCUCACAGGGCUCUGAGCAUCUGAGGAAUGCUUGGAUUCACCUCCCUGCGGUAGAGAACUGAAUUGGUUGGAACAGGAUCUCCUGGAUACUGGUGGAAAUAUAAAUAUGCAUAUGUAUCAAGAACCUUCAAAUUUUUGAUUCAGCCUCACCUCCUCCAGGAAGACUUCCAUGACCACACCCCUUAUCAUCCCAGUGUAAUCUGUAUUUCUCCUUUCCCUGUAGCAUUUUUGCU
This is a long non-coding RNA of Cervus elaphus (red deer), 707 nucleotides long. RefSeq lists it as uncharacterized. The transcript has 4 exons. NCBI's taxonomy places the organism in Eukaryota, Metazoa, Chordata, Mammalia, Artiodactyla, Cervidae. The record is from RefSeq and is a predicted model, not a curated record.